GAUGAACGCUAGCUACAGGCUUAACACAUGCAAGUCGAGGGACCGGCGCACGGGUGAGUAACACGUAUCCAACCUGCCCUUUCCUCGGGGAUAGCCUUUCGAAAGAAAGAUUAAUACCCGAUAUAAAGGGUGGGGAUGCGUUCCAUUAGGUUGUUGGUGAGGUAACGGCUCACCAAGCCUUCGAUGGAUAGGGGUUCUGGGAGGAAGGUCCCCUAGAUUGGAGAUGCGACCCGGACCAAACGCCUACGGGAGGGAGGAGUAAGGAAUAUAAGUCAAGAAGCGCUAGCCUGAACCAGCCACGUAGCUUGAAGAAUGAAGGCUUAGUAGUCGUAAAUUUUUUGUAUAUAAGAAGAGGUAUUAUAUGAAUAAGGAUCGGCUAACUCCGUGCCAGCAGCCGCGGUAAUAC
Molecule: ribosomal RNA, 406 nt
Filed under: uncultured bacterium
Lineage: Bacteria
Description: partial 16S ribosomal RNA
Rfam family: Bacterial small subunit ribosomal RNA
Source: RNAcentral